CCAGAAAAAGGAGAUUUUAACUCCCACCGCUGGCUCCCAAAGCCAAAGUUCUAAGUUAAACUAUCUUCUG
RNAcentral lists this transfer RNA (70 nucleotides) under Acheilognathus tonkinensis. Its description in RNAcentral is "tRNA-Pro". The record is from RNAcentral. Lineage: Eukaryota; Metazoa; Chordata; Actinopteri; Cypriniformes; Acheilognathidae.